RNAcentral lists this long non-coding RNA (3574 nucleotides) under Carassius auratus (goldfish). RNAcentral's name for it is "lncRNA (ENSCARG00000021511.1)". The record is from RNAcentral. Lineage: Eukaryota; Metazoa; Chordata; Actinopteri; Cypriniformes; Cyprinidae.
AUGCCACUGCCAAAAAAAAAACUUUAUUUAGACAAACUGUCCGAGAUAAACAAGAUAGAUCCAUAUGAUUUAGCAGCCCAAGACUGGAUUACGGAUCCAGACGCAGUACCUCCGCUCACAUAUAUGGACAUCGUCAAUUACCUCGUUUUAGGAUUGAGUGCGUACACUUUGCAGGAGUUUAAGAGCUAUAAAUCCCUUCAAGCCCAUGAACAGUUUUGCAGCGGCUGGGUACAAGACCUCCUCAUUCACAGGCCGCCUAACUGCAAGAGCACAGUCGUACUGGCAAAGGUGAUGCACUCCCAGCGCCUUAGUGAAGUUCCUCUGAAGGCUUGGGUUAUUAUCAACACCAAUGGUGAAGUUUCCUCAGCCCACUGUACGUGAAUGCCUUGAGUCGCAGAGACAUGCUCCCAUGUUGACGAAUGUCAGUAACCAAACAGUUACCUGGAACCACUGACUUCCAUAGAUUUUUUUUUUCCUGCUAUGGAAGUCAGUGGUUCCAGGUAACUGUUUGGUUACUGACAUUCUUCAAAAUAUCUUCCUUUGUGUUCAGCAGAAGAAAGAAAUUCAUACAGGUUUGAAACAACUUGAGGGUGAAUAAAUGAUGACAGAAUUUUCAUUUUAAAGUGAACUAUCCCUUUAAAGGGUCUCUGUGGAUACAAUCAGUACAGAAACAGAUACGUCACUUAAUGUAUUUAUUAAGCAGUUAUAUAAAAACUUGAGUCAGAAACAUUUUAAAAAGGCAUGUAAAAAAUAUGUACAGAAUAUCAAAGCAAAUUGUUCAUUGAAAAAAUAAAUAAUUUUUGAUUCAUGCAAUGUGGCCUGUCUUUAUCAUCUGCUAACAUAAACCACAAAUUCAACAUCAUUCAUCAGCUAUCCUACAAAUCAUCAAGGAAUAUACAAUACACAACACCUCUUGCUUUGUACAACUUUUAACAAACGUUUUUACAAACCAGUUGAUUUAGCAAUCACUGCACAACACUUGGACACAUGUUUGUAAGAGCACAGCAGACUGUGACAACUUUCUUCUUGUUCUUUCUCCUCUCCUGGCCUCUUGCUAAUUACCUGAUGUUUGAGGUAUUUUCUUAACUGACGUGCAAACCUCUCUUUGUUCAUCCCUUUCACUUCAUUGUGGCCCAGAAGCAAAGAUGGUGCCCAGUCAGGAUGAGUAUCCAGCAUUUCAAAUGCUGGUUGUCCUGUAAAUAAAAAAUUAUUUUUUUCUGCUUCCCUUGUUGUUUUUUCCAGGAAGGAAAGCUGAAAAAACGUAUUCCGUUGUUCAGUUUCCUCCCUGAACGAUCGUGUGACCUGCUAUGGCAGUUUUUGGUCGAGCAGUACUGGCCAACCAUAUCGACGUUUAUUAAAAUCUCGACAGAAAAUCCAAACACAGCCUCCAACACACAAAUUCAAAUACAGCGGUAUAGGGCACGAUCCUGCAAAUAUGGCGGAGGACCCAUAAUGCAACACGGCGUGAUGUCACCUUCACAUUCCCUAUAAAAGAUUGUAGCGUUUAUGAUGAGCCUUGAAGUGCCUCAUUACGAAGAAGUUAUUCAGAAAAUUGCAUGCACUAUGAUCAACAUCUUAAUUAUGCUGUGCAAGUCUGCUAGAUAAACAAGCACGAAACGCCCAGUGCUUUAUUUGAACGUGUGAGUAGAAAUCAUUGCAGAGAAUAAAAUUAAUGCCCAGGUGCCACAAGUGCAUAGAACAAAAUGAUACGUAUAAUGCUGUAGACUGGUGAAGUGAUGGAGGUGAGAUGCCGAAGAGACCGGCAGCCUUAAUUCUGUCUGCUGGUCCGGAGAGACUUCAUUCGUGCAGGUUCACGUGAGCGUACAGAUGAAUAUUUGUUGAUUGAGACCAAAGUCUUUUCAGGUGUUGAGACCCAAGCAGCACUGACGCGACAUCUCGGAAAGCACCGGCGUUGCCAAGACAGUUCUUUUUUUUUUUUUUUUUUUUGUGGGUUGCUAUUUCUGUCCUGGGUUUGAGGUGACCCCAAUAGUGUCAUAUAUAGCCCCUAGAAUGUGAAUUCUACCGAUAAAUCCCUUUUGAACGCGAUUGGGCUAUUUAUUUAUUUUAUUUUAUUUUUUUUAUUUUUUUUUUUGUAGUAACUGGCGGUUUUGAGAAACCUGGCAACCCUGGCCUGGAAGCACACAGAACUCCGCCAAUGUUCACAUCCUCUGCCGAGAAAAGCUUGAUCAUCCAACACAAACGACUGCAGAUAAUCACCGCGACACGGAGCUAAGCCAAUGAUCCCGUGUGCAUCUUAGAGGAACGUCAAACUCUAGAUAGUUUGCGGGGCACGAACUUAACUACAGCAAGUAAAUGAAUAAACGCAACAGCUUGAGCAAGGACAAUCGCGUCGGAAUCUGCAGUUGUUGUCGUGUCAGCAUCUGCGAACUCAAACAUGUGUAAGUACGAUCUUUUAUACAGGAGUAUAAAGACGUGAUUGGAUAAUGAUGAAGGUAAUUAGUGACGAAGUGAUUGAGUCUUCCUGGCAGAACUUAAAUCCCGAAUAACAGAUGGAUUAACCAUCUGUUAUGCUACAAAAAUCACAUAUCAAAGGAUGUAUGAACAUGUGUCAUUCUCCCACAACAUGAAUCGUUAUUAUGAUAAAAUCUAUAGGACAUCAUUAUUUUAAGGACAUUCAUACAAACUGUUGACCUUUCCAAAUGCGCCGCCUGUUGGCAAUUUGAUGAUUUGUCUAGAACAAUGAAAUUGCUAAUGUGCCUUAAAAUCCAAACGUUUUACAAGUAAGUGUGUCCACAGGGUAUCUGUGCAUGUCUAGGGUCAUACGAGUAAGCUUUGCUGAUAGUUGAAUGGAGAAGACAAAGGUUGGCUCGAUCGGGAGCACUCUUGCAGCGCCUGACUGGGAGUUCAAUACUAAGGACGAUUUGGUUGUCUGCGAGGGUAGACGCUGUAAGGCUUACUUGAAUAAUUGUUUAGCAAAUCCAAUGAGCUGCUUCCGAUAACGAGUCAGAAAAAUCUUGGUGCAGUCAUUGUAUUCGAAAUUAAGCGUGCAAAAAAUUAAUUGAAUUUCCUGUACCCAAUGUACCCUAAAUAGGUGCCAUGAAUCAGCGAUAUGGUCAUUGUCAAAUCAUCAUAUUGUCAGCACGUGAGAUCAUUGGUACAUAUCGAUGAUGUAAUUGUGCAUGGGUGGAGUAAGAGAAAGAUUCUUAAUUCUUGUCAGAGCUUACUAUUUGCCAUUUUUACCAUGCAGGUGCCCUAAAAAGAGCCUAAGAAAUUACCAAAAAUCAAAAAAUAUACUUUCGGAUGUACCGAUAAACUGGUAUUAAAUAUAAAAUACUAUAUUUAAAACUGCUAGUUCAUGUAGUCGGCACUACUGUCAUCUCGCUUGUUCUGUGACAAAUUGCUGCAUCUGCGCACGGAAGUUAUCAGUCUAAAUGUUCUGCAAAAUCAGUCAACGGUGCAAAAACAAUAGUAGAUUUCAUUUAAAGUCCAAUGAUUUAACCCUAAUAUGGACGUAAACGAACACCUUAAAUUAUAAGGUAUUCCAAAACAGGUAAGUUCAUAUGUUUGUAUUGAGCUUGGUUGAACUGAUGCCUUGGUUAUACGUGCUCCGGAC